Molecule: long non-coding RNA, 3127 nt
Filed under: Triticum aestivum (bread wheat)
Lineage: Eukaryota; Viridiplantae; Streptophyta; Magnoliopsida; Poales; Poaceae
Description: long non-coding RNA (TAES_LNC017635)
Source: RNAcentral
UCAUAAUUUCAGUGUAACUACUGUCCCUGCUUUUACAGUGUAAUUCUCCCAUAUUUUUUUUGUAAUUACUGUGUAAUUCUCAUGCCCAUGUUUUACGACUGUGUAAUUUACAGUGUUAUACUCCCAUAUUACAGUGCAAUUCUCAUGCCCAUGUUUGUAAUUACUGUGUAACAUGUCCUAGUAGUACUGUGUAAUUUACAGUGUAAUACUUCCAAAUGCUCCAGAAUUACUGUGUAAUUUAUCAUCCAAUUACAGUGUAAUUUGUCGUAACAGUACUGUGUAGUUUUCCCCCUAGUUCCAGUGUAAAUCUUUGAUUUACAGUGUCCUGAGAUAUGCAAGAUUUUUCAGUGUAUUAUGCCAUGGAAUCACUGUGUAAUUUGUCCUAGCAUUUACACAGUAAUUUUAGCCCAACUACUCAUGUAUUUUACAGUGUAUAUGCCCCGAUUUUACAGUGUAUUAUGCACUAGAAUCACUAUCUAGUAUGUCAUGAUUACACAACAAUUCUGGGAGGAAAGUUACCCCUUUUUCAGUGUAGUUUUAAUGUAGUUUUAUUCCGUAAUCAUCUUGCUUAGUUUAUGUUUUUAUAAUAUAUUUUUGCGCCUAUUUUUUGUAGUGUAAUGUUCAUGCUUUAGCUCUGUAAUUUUCAGGUUUAGAUUUAUGGGAAAGCUUCAGAAAGUCUCUCACCAGGAUGUUCCGUUAAUGUCAUCUUUUGAGAGUGCAGAUUCUAUUCGUGAACCAUUCGUGCCUAAUGACUUUGCGGAAGAUGGAUCAUAUCCAAUGUCUACGGUAGUUAUUUUUCUCUUAUUUUUUCUAGUUAUAUUUUCUUUUUGAUUUUAUGUAAUCGGUUUAUAUUUUCUUUCUUUCUGGUGAUGAAGGAGCCUUUGACAAAGCUCUUUUCAAGUUCUAUGUUAAUCAAGUUGGUUAUCUGCUUCUUUUUUCUUGUUCUUGCUGUUUUAUGUUUGUUUGUUAUUUUCUCUUGUUGAGGUGACUUUUGGCUUUAUGUUUUUUCAGAAAGGAAAAUCACUGAAGAGGAAGUUAUCAUCUGUUCGUAGAAGAAAUGUGGUUAGUCCUCUUCCUCUUGCCAUGAUGCUCUCGUUCACUAUUAGCUUAUUCAUUUUAUUAUUUACUGUUUUUUAGUACAUCAUUCAUGUGAUGCAGCCUCUUGCUCUCUGAUGCAGUCUGUUACUCGAUGCACCUCCAUUUGUCAAUUACUAGUUAGAUUGCCCUCUGAUGCAGCCUCUUGCUCAUUUUGCAGGAAUCUCUCAAUGUCUUCUUCAUCGAGGUAUUCAUUGUCAUCUUGUUCAUGUGAGUGCUCUGAUUCUGGUAUUUUUGUUUCUUCAUUGUUCUGGCAACUAUUGUUUUCUCUUGUUGCUGCUGAACUGGGGUCAUCAUCUUCAGCCACCUGCAUUCAUAGCAAUUUGCUUCAGUAUUUUAUUUCUUACUAGUUUUCAACUUCUAUGUAUGUAUCUUGUUAGUGAAUUUUGGUCUUUUACCUGUUCCACAUUUAUGGUGCCAAAAGGGUCUGCAUGCUAGGGGUUUUCUUCUGUUGCACCUUCUUCGGUUGGUGCAGUUUCAGUUUCCAUUUCGUCGAAUGUCUGCAGAAUAGUACUGAAGCUGUAAGUAGCUCUCUUAUUUUUGUCAGAUCAUGAUAGUUUAUCCAAAUUUUUGUCACUUACUGUCGAAUGGACUGAUGUGUUGUUGCUGUUAUGAGUUCUGUUACUCGAUGCACCUCCAUUUGCUGAAUGUACCUGUAAGAAACAUGCUCAUAAAAUAUAGUUCUUGCUGUAAUAUCACAACAAAUGAAACCCAUUUCUUUUCCAAGAAGCUGUAAAAGUAGUACUGUUUUUGUAAGAAUUUUUUCUUACCUUGUAUAUAAUGUCUGAGUGUAGGAGCGCAAUAAAAGAAAAUGAUUCCUGCAGUGUUUUUGUAUGUUAGAUUUUGUUUUUGAUGUACUCAGCUUUUUCUUAUAAGUUUUUGACGUUUAUUGGUACUUACAUUUAGGAUGAGAUCUUCAUGUGACAUUGACAGUAGUUCGUCUUCUGUUAUUAUCCUUGUCAUGCUCCCCAUCUGCAUAUUUUGGAAAAGAAAUGUCAGUGUUAGUACAACAAACAUAUGUAUAGUCCAAAGGAAUUACAGUAUAAUUCCUGUAAUCUCUAGAACAGUCCAAAUGAUUUACACAGUAAUUACUGUAAUCUCUAGGGGGGUUUCCCCAUUUGCCGAUGAAUUACAGUAUAAUUCGGAAAGUUUCUGCUAGUGUAAAAAUUGUGUUACAUUCCAUUUCCCCAUUUCCCUCUGUAAUUGAUUGGCAAUUUUACAUUGUAAUUCGUUUUGUAUUUUUACCCUGUACACUUUAACACUCGAAUUACUAUAAUUACUAUGGGAUUUACACUGUAAUUACUGUUGUAUUGCAGUUUAUUCCAUAGGUAGUUUCAGUGUAAGUUGACAAAUUUCACUGUAAUUCAUCGGCAGUUACACUGUAGGUCUGUUACCAUUUUAGGCAAUACCCUGAUUUUCAGUGUAAGUUGGCAUGGUUUUGCUACUGUCCUGUGUAUUGUCAUUUCAGGCAUCAGGUGUUGUUUCAGUGUAAUUUCUUCAACUAUGCAAGUUUUUUCUACUGCUACUGAUCAACUAUUUGCAGAGUAUUAAGUUUUCUCUACUGUUGAGAUUACAGUGAAAUUUAUGCUGAGAUUUAUGGUGUUAUGUAGGAGGGGUGGAGAGGGGUUUCCCUUUUCCGUGCGUAGCAAGUUGAUGGCAAGCAGGGAAGUUGUGGCCAGCUGUUAGCUGUGGUCUAGGGAGGGUUUGGUGGGGCUGGUUUACUGGAAACCGGGGCAGGGUUAUGCCCGACCCGUUUUUGCCGAAAUACAGAAAAUAAAGUGGCUGGUGGGAGGUUUUUUUGGGACAUACAGGUGUCAUCUGUUCAUUUGCUAUGAAAUUUGAAUGUUGUCAAAUUGAAAAAUAGUCGAAUGUCAAAUAGACAGUCCCUAAAUAUAUCCCUCUUGUGUUCUUUUAGGAAAAGAAAAUUUGUCAUUUUUUCAGGUUCCUAAUACAGUGUCCCACGCAUCAUCUCUUUUGUUCAAAUAGAACAUUUUGUUGCCAACGCGUUUGCACUGAGUAUGAAUACCAUAGA